GCCAAAAGCCUAGCCCCCCACCACUAAUGAACCGUAAAACCUCAUUUUUAUAAAUUAAAACAUUUUAUAAAUUUAGUAAAGGCGAUUAAAAAAUUAUACAGGAGCAAUAAAAAUAGUACCGCAAGGGAAAGGUGAAAUAAAAUUGAAAUAAAUUUUAAGCGCAAAAUAGUAGAGACCAUCUCUCGUACCUUUUGCAUCAUGGUUUAACAAGUCCAACCAAGCAAAAUGACUUACAGUUUGACCUCCCGAAACUAAGUGAGCUACUUCAGGACAGCUUAUUGAGCAAACCCGUCUCUGUUGCAAAAGAGUGGGAAGAUCCUCAAGUAGGGGUGACAGACCUAACGAACUUAGUGAUAGCUGGUUACUCAAGAAAAGGAUUUUAGUCCAGCCUAAAGUCUCUCUAAUACAAUAAAAUGCCUCUUAGACUUUAGAGUAAUUCAAAUAAGGUACAGCCUAUUUGAAAAAGGAUACAACCUAAACUAACGGGUAAUAUAUUAAUUUUAUAACCAAGUGGGCCUAAAAGCAGCCACCUUUGAGACAGCGUCAAAGCUCCAUUAUAAUUUUUAUCUAAUAUCUAAAAAUAAUAAAAACCCUCUACCUCUACUGAGUAAUUCUAUACCCCUAUAGAACUUAUAAUGUUAAAACUAGUAACAAGAAGAAGACCUUCUCUUAAAUGUACAUGUAAAUCAGUAAGGACAAGCCACUGAUAAUUAACACCCAUGAAAUUGUAUUAGCAACUCCACAAGAAAACCCUAAUAAAUUUUGUGUUAACCUAACACAAGAACAUUACAAGAAAGAUUAAAAAAGAAAGAAGGAACUCGGCAAAUAUUAACCUCGCCUGUUUACCAAAAACAUCGCCUCUUGAAUCAUCAUAAGAGGUCUAGCCUGCCCAGUGACUCUGUUCAACGGCCGCGGUAUCCUAACCGUGCGAAGGUAGCGUAAUCACUUGUUCUUUAAAUGAGGACUUGUAUGAAUGGCAUCACGAGGGUUAUACUGUCUCCUUUCUUUAAUCAGUGAAACUAAUCUCUCCGUGAAGAAGCGGGGAUAAGAAUAUAAGACGAGAAGACCCUAUGGAGCUUUAAAUUCAAUAACAAAUACUACCAAUAAUAUAACCUCCAGAUUACAAACCCUUAUUUUAGUAUUAUGAUUAUUAAUUUUAGGUUGGGGUGACCGCGGAGAAAAAACUAUCCUCCACAUUGAAAGGGGCCCGCCCCUGAGCAAAAAACUACAACUUUAAGCACCAAUAAACUGACAUCAAUUGACCCAAUAUUUUGAUCAACGAACCAAGUUACCCUAGGGAUAACAGCGCAAUCCGCUUCAAGAGCUCCUAUCGACAAGUGGGUUUACGACCUCGAUGUUGGAUCAGGGUAUCCCAGUGGUGCAGCCGCUACUAAAGGUUCGUUUGUUC
This 1408-nucleotide ribosomal RNA is filed under the name Trachycephalus lepidus. RNAcentral describes it as "partial 16S ribosomal RNA". It matches the Rfam family "Bacterial large subunit ribosomal RNA", at positions 157 to 2582 of the family's 2925-position model. The record is from RNAcentral. Lineage: Eukaryota; Metazoa; Chordata; Amphibia; Anura; Hylidae.